Molecule: ribosomal RNA, 451 nt
Filed under: Streptococcus mutans
Lineage: Bacteria; Bacillati; Bacillota; Bacilli; Lactobacillales; Streptococcaceae
Description: bacterial SSU rRNA
Rfam family: Bacterial small subunit ribosomal RNA
Source: RNAcentral
GACGAACGCUGGCGGCGUGCCUAAUACAUGCAAGUGGGACGCAAGGGAACACACUGUGCUUGCACACCGUGUUUUCUUGAGUCGCGAACGGGUGAGUAACGCGUAGGUAACCUGCCUAUUAGCGGGGGAUAACUAUUGGAAACGAUAGCUAAUACCGCAUAAUAUUAAUUAUUGCAUGAUAAUUGAUUGAAAGAUGCAAGCGCAUCACUAGUAGAUGGACCUGCGUUGUAUUAGCUAGUUGGUAAGGUAAGAGCUUACCAAGGCGACGAUACAUAGCCGACCUGAGAGGGUGAUCGGCCACACUGGGACUGAGACACGGCCCAGACUCCUACGGGAGGCAGCAGUAGGGAAUCUUCGGCAAUGGACGAAAGUCUGACCGAGCAACGCCGCGUGAGUGAAGAAGGUUUUCGGAUCGUAAAGCUCUGUUGUAAGUCAAGAACGUGUGUGAGAG